UACGAAGGGGGCUAGCGUUGCUCGGAAUCACUGGGCGUAAGGCGCACGUAGGCGGCUUGUUAAGUCAGGGGUGAAAUCCUGGAGCUCAACUCCAGAACUGCCUUUGAUACUGAAGAUCUUGAGUUCGGGAGAGGUGAGUGGAACUGCGAGUGUAGAGGUGAAAUUCGUAGAUAUUCGCAAGAACACCAGUGGCGAAGGCGGCUCACUGGCCCGAUACUGACGCUGAGGCACGAAAGCGUGGGGAGCAAACAGG
Molecule: ribosomal RNA, 253 nt
Filed under: uncultured bacterium
Lineage: Bacteria
Description: partial 16S ribosomal RNA
Rfam family: Bacterial small subunit ribosomal RNA
Source: RNAcentral